Molecule: non-coding RNA, 75 nt
Submitted as: unclassified sequences
Source: Rfam
ACAAUGAUACUUCCGUCCGGCUGCUGAUGACAGGGGCGGCUGCAGGAGAUCCCUGCAGGGGUUCGAUUCCCAUGA